CAUUUGGCAGUUAGUGAGGAAACUCUCCAUCUAGUACCUACUGCCUAUCUAUUUACUCUUAGUCAAGGGAAGCAACAAAACUGUUCAUUGAGGGAAAGAGAAUGUAAACAAUUUCAAAACCCAAAGCUAAUUAAAUAGCUUUCCUUUCUCUGCUUCAAAUUUGUGCAUUUUCUUAGGGCCCUCCACACCCUUCUAUGGGGAAGCAACAAGCAGAUCCGCAGGCUGCACUGCCCGAGAGCGCUCAUCAGUGUGGAGUGUCAGCGCUUCCUGCUUUUUUCCUCCCUCCAUCAUGUGGCCUGCAGGAAAGCCACUGGUGCAAUUAGCGGAGGUGGCUCCGGGUGCCCACUUUGCCACCGUGGCGCUGCUCCAGCUCCUUCCUUCCUUUGUUCCUAGCCAGAGGAUCUGUUUUGGUUUUCUCAGACUCCCCUAGCUUAAGUGGUCCUCACCCCCAGCAGACCCGAGAAAUGUAAACACCAAGGUUUCCAUGGUGCGCCCCCCUGGGUGGAGCUUGCUUGUGGUCUGUUGAAAUCUUGGCUGGAAGGAUCAGUGAGGACAUUUGGCAAGCUGGAAUCGGGGCAGCCUGAUAGUAAGAACACUGUGAUGGAUCUUUUCUGUGAGGUGACAAGAGCUGGUUUGGCAGAAAUGAAAUUCAUCAUCGAUAAAUGGAGGACUGGAUGGGGAGAGGCUCGUGAGAUGGCUAAGAACAGAUUGUUAAACACAGACCCCGCCGCAUAGAUAGAAGGAUAGACUCACGGCAAACCCGAAUCUGCACAUCAUUCUGGUCUCCCUGGACAAGUUAGUUUUGGGGUAGAGGAGGCUGUCAGGCACUGGAGUGUGACCGUGUUGAGCGGCACUUGAAUCACCGCAGCUGUUAGGGUGGAGCCGAGCAUCAUGGGUACCGUCUGCACUAAAGUCUGGAUGGACUGAUGCCAUGAAGAGAAAACUGAGGGGCAGGGGUGGCGAGAGUGCCUGGAAUAGCUCGCUGUCUGCGAGAGGAAUGUGUAGUGUUCAUUGCCGUCUGCUGAGAGCUGAACCUAGUUUCCCAGAGUCUGCACAGACCCCAGACCCUUGGACAGCAAUGUUGGGUAAGGUGGCCCACAGAUGGCAGGCAACACACAUAUUGUUGAGUUCACUCUGGAGGGGGAUUGGGGAUUUGUGAGUAGAAUGUAGAACUCACAUGAAAACCAAUAAAUCUGUUGUUUGCUUGUGCUGAUGAAGCUUUGAGCCAGUGGACCCGAGCACUGGGGUUCCUCCAGGAUGAGAGAGUUGAGUAUUAGCAUCCUAUAUCUGUGGGAAGGAAGAGUGCCUGACGGGAGCCUAAGACGGAGCCCCUGAGAAGGUCUUCCUCCUCUUCCAGAAAGGGCUGCCGAGGCAAACCUGGACCCCCCCCUUUCCAUGGGUGGGGUCUCUGCUGGAGGUGGGUAUGUUCAGUGCAUUGAGAGGAAUUGACAAGAGGCCUGGUCCCUUCCAUUUCCCCGGGGCAAACCCCUACAAAAAAGAGCAAGAGGAAGGGUCCAGCAGGUCCUGUGGUUGGUACUGUGGGUAAGGUUGUGCUCCUGCUGGCCAUAGGGGAGUCUCAAAAGAAAGCCUGUCCCCAGGUAACAGUUGUCCCGGUUCACUGCUCACAGGGCCUAAUGUCCACCCAUGUGCUAACUGUUCUUGUGGUUUUACCUCUUCCAGGCGAUUCAACCAAAAGCAAGCAGACGGCACGUGACUGCUUCCACUCAGUAUGUUUCAAGGGUCACCAUUGCAUCCUUGGGUCAUGAUUUUUAUCCUUUCCGUAGCUCAAUAACCUUUCUUUGUGUGACUUUGCCACAUUUCCGCGUCUGUUUCUGAAUGAGCCAGAAGACGGUCCCGGUCCCUACGGCAGACAGCUGUGUGCUUGGACAUCCGGUACAGGCAACAAUGUGGAUGCAGAUCUGGAAACACCUGCUGUCUCCUUGUGUUUCCCCAAACCGAUGGCGAAGCUUCCAGAUGCUGCAGCCAUGAGGGAUGCUGGCAAGGCAAUGGGCAGGGCUCACAGCCACUGCUCAUUGUGGGUGAGCUUACCCAGGAUCUGCACCUUUGGUACCAGUUAGGUGGUUUCUUCAUGACCUCCCAGGGGAGAGAGAAGGCCUCACCCAGCAAGGGAGGUUCUGCAGAGCUGGAGAGCCUGGAAUUUUCAUCCGUAGCACAACUGCCUGUGUGGGUCAUGGGGAGUAUUCCUACUGCCCAGCCAUGGCUACCUGGGCAGGUGAGCUCUUCUUCUGCUGAGCUGCCUUGUGAGUCUUCAGCUUGCUCUGACACUUCCUUCCUCAGCUGGCUUUGCAUAAAUGCACGUUUUGAGCAAAGAAGACUUACCCAGAAUGCGGUCAGUGCCAAGGUGGUUUAGCAAACAAGAGAUCAGGAAAGAAAAAGAGCAAGCUUGCUGAAUGAGAGUACAUACCAGUAAUCUCAACACUUGGGAAGGCUGAGGCAGAAGGAUGACAGAUUCCAAGCUAGCCUGGGAUGCAUAGCCAGACCCUGCCUCAAAAACAAUAAAAGUUUUUGUGGAAUCCCAUCAAAGCCUCGAAGCUGCUACUCACUAGUCCGUUAUGUAAAUGUGUGUGGAGAUUGUAGUUAGAUAAGAUAGGAAUCUCAUGACUUCAGUGUUGAGCUGUGGAAUGGCUCAUACGAAAGCUGAGAACACAGGGAUGGUAACACUGUCUUUGGAUGUCUCAAGAUCUGCACAUGUGACUUUAAAGGUAGUAGCUCAAAAUCUUGGCCGCAUAUAAGACUCAUCUGGGGGACUUUUAAGUCCACCACAUCUGGCCAACACUUUCAGGACCGGAUUUAAUUGGUGGGGACAGGGCACUCGGCUGCUGUAUUUUUUAUUUUUUUUAAUGACUUUUCCUGUCGACUCUUAAGAUACAGCAAACAUCCAGCAAACGCUGGUGGAGCCUCUGCUUGUGGCAGGAAGUCAGGUGGAGCAAAAAGAGGACAAGGAUGUCCCCAUGGACAAGGUCUGGAUGGCAGGACACAUGCACACACACCAAUGCACACAUGUACACAUACGCAUGCACAAGCACACAAUCAUGCAUGUGCACACACAUGCACACACAUACACACGCACACAUGCAUGCACACACAUGCACACACACAUGCACACGCCCAUGCAUGCAUGCACACCUCUGAGAACAGUGGGUGGUUAGAGCUGUAGUAGUCUCCCGUAACUUUAUCAGGUUUGGACUCAGAAGUGGAGUGGUGUGGGAGGCAGAGUUGAGAGUGAGAUGUGUUUUGGGGACUUGGGAGGGAAGAAAGGGAACACAGAUGGGCUUGGAAGGCAAGGAGAGGCUUCAGGGAGUGAUCUAGGGAUUUGUUUGUAGCGGGAGAGACCAGAGUGCAUCCAAAUGCUAGCAGAACCGCUCCAGCUGAGAGGAGGCUGUGAGGGGCUAGAAUGCAUGAUUGAUGGCAGGCAGUUCUAAGGAGGCGGGGGAGGGAAGGACUGGACCAGCCCGGUCUGCACAGUGUUGACCUUCUGUAGAAAGGACAGUGUAACGGGGUGGGAGGAGAGGGUGAAGCAGAGUUUGAGGGUGCCUGGCCUUGCUGGGGGGGUGCCAAGAGCAUUCCUUCAUAUUCAGGGGUCUCUGUACAUCUUUUAAGUACAUGGAGCCUCAGCCCACACCCUAGGUUCGCUUUUCUUUCUCCUCUCUCCUUCCACACGGCGGCAGACCUAAGGCUUCCAGCCUGGUGAGGGUUUGGUGUUGAGAGCCCAGCCACUGUCACCCCUGGAUCGGGUUCUCCAGUGGUGUGCGGGAUAUCAGCUAGGGUUUGCCCUACAGCUUGGACCCUGUAUUGGUGAUGAUUCCCUAGAGGAAUAGAGCUGAUAGGAUGGAUAUGAUCAAAUGAUAAAUGAUUUAUUAGAGUGGUUUAUAGUCUGUGGUCUCACUGCUCCAACAAUGGCUGUCUCCUCAAAGGAGCCAUCACAAACAAAGGGACAAUUGCAGACAUUGUGACCUCUAAGGCCUGACUUGGGAGUUGUAUUUUUGGAACAUGCUAUUGUCAAAGCCAACCACAGUCAGACUCAAUGGAAAGGAAGAUACAAUUUACCUCUCUGUGGAAAGGGUAGCUAAGAGCUUGCCACCAUGAUCUUCCGAACCGGAAGUGAGAACCUUGGGCCACAUCUUGAAGGCCUUUCUCUUGGGAACGUUGCCAGUACGUGUCUGACUCCUCACUUUAUGGGCUAGGAAUUCUAACUUGAGGCCAAAUCUCAUGGUUGGAGGAAUUCCUGGGUAAAGCAACGCUCAUCCUGAUCUUCCUCCUGCCACACGGCGGUGACCAUUUGAGGGGUGACAAAUUUGGAGCUGCUUGCAGGUGCCCACGGAACAACUGGCCUUAGAAGCUCACGAGGAUGGGGGACUCCCGCUCACACUUCCACUCAUCGUUCCCAGGCCCAAAUGGUGACAUCACAUCAACCUAACUUCAAGGGAGGCUGUGCUCUGACAGCCGCUACCACACCGUCUUUCUGUGUCAUCACCAGGGGCUUGGGGUGACGGCAGCCAUUUGUGACUCUGAAGAGAAGGUAAACAGAUGUGCAGGAGUGAGGUAAAGCCUGGGUGUGGCUGAGGUGCUGAGCUGGCAGCACUGCUGGGGCAGGAGGUCCUGAUUGGGUGGGAGUGGGUGAGCAGGUGUGAGCGUAUGGACAUCCAUUUCCUCCUCCUCUCGACUGUGGAAGUGACGUAAGUUCCAGGCUCGACCUCCCUCCCACAAUGGACCAUAACUUAGAAUUGUAAGCUUCCUGAGUCGCUUUUUUCUUUUGGUUCUUCAUGACAGGGUUUCUCUGUGUAGCCCUGGCUGUCCUGAAACUCAUGCUAUAGACCAGGCUGGCCUCAAAUUCACAGAGCUCUGCCUGCCUCUGCCUCCCGAGUGCUAGGAUUAGAGGCCUGCGCCACCACCGCUCAGCUCUGAGAGACUUUUUCUCAGGGUGUUUUUUACCACAGGGAGAGGAGUAAAAUAAUCACAGAGCUGAGGGACAGUGACCUCUUCUCUCAGUCUGAGGCUUCAUUCCACCCUCCCAAUGCUGUCUUUUGCAGGGUGGGAAUAAUUUAUUAUUGUUUCCUUCCACAGAUCAUGUUUUGGGUAGUAUGCCUAAAAUCUUAUUGCCAAACUCAAGAGUAUUUAAAUUUCCUAUUACGUUAACGUCCAGAAUUUGAAAAGUUUUGUCUUUUAUGGUUAGCUCUUCGACACACUUUUAGUUAAUUUUGGGGGAAGCGUGUUGUGUAUUUGGUCUAGAUUCUCUCAUUUAUUUAUUAUUUAUUCUGUGUGUGGAUGUCCAGUCGGUGCUGCACUGUCUGUUGACAAGGCUAUCUCGUCUUUGUUCCUUUGAAAGAGAUCCACCGGCCCUGUUUGGUUUUGUGUCUGGGCUCUCUGUCCUGGCUUUCUGUUUUUCUGGCACGUUUUCCAGGACGUCGUUGACUCAGUAGACUGAGAAGAACUGCCGCUUUCACAAUAUUGCCGUCCAGUUUAUGACCAGAGAGCCCCUCUUUAGAUUUGCUUCGAUUUCUUUCAUCACAGUUUGUAGCUUCUUUUGAAAAGGCUUUUGUUAGCCAGGUGGUGGUGGCGCACGCCUUUAAUCCCAGCUCUCGGGAGGCAGAGGCAGGUGGAUCUCUGUGAGUUCGAGACUAGCCUGGUCUACAGAGCUAGUUCCAGGACAGGCUCCAAAGCUACAGAAAAACCCUGUCUGGGGGGGGGGGGGAACAACCGAAAAGGCUUUUGUUUUUCUUUCUGUGUUGUGAUGCAUGGAUGUUUGCAUACCACAUGCAUGCCUGGUGCCUACAGAGGCCAGAGGGGGCAUUGAAUCCCCUGAAACGGAAGUUACAGAUGGCUGUGGGCCACCAUGUGGGUGCUGGGAAUUGAACUUGGGUCCUCCAGGACAGCAGCCAGUGAUCUUAACCACAGAGUCAUCUUUCCAAUUCCCAGCUUUAUAGUUUCUUGCAUGUAGAUCCUGAAUAUACUUUUGAUAUUUAUUCUUGAAAUAAUAGCUCAUUUUUGUUGCUCUGACAAACCGACAGCAGUUUGGUACUUCUGUAAUGGAAGCUUGUGACUGUGAGGAGACGGUCCAUAGACCCCCAGAAAGAGUGGGAUAAAGCCUGGGUGUGGCUUGGCUCCAAAGCCAGUACUACUGCCAAGGCAGGAGGUCCUAAGAGUCUGAGAAUGAACGAGCAAGUGAGCACACGUCCAUUUAUUUCUUUGUCCUCUUGGCUGUGGACGUGAUGUAAAUAGCUUAUUUACUACAUAGUUUUAGGGGCUGAAGUCUAAAAUGGGCUGUCCUUUCUGUUCUGCCUCCAGUGAGGGCCCCCUUGACUACACAUGGCAGACAGGUAGUAUCAUGGUGGGAAAAGGUACAAGAGAGAGAAAGUGCAGAGCAAUACAUUGUGAUGUUUUAAAAGAAAAUGGUCCCCGAAGGCAGUGGCACUAUUAGGUGAAUUUGUUGGAGUAGAUGUGGUCCUGCUGGAGGAAAUGUGUCACUCUGAAGGUGGACUUGGAGGUCUCAUAUGCUCAAGCCACACCCAGUGAGACAGACCGCUUCCUUUUGCCUGGGGAUGAAGAUGUAAGAACCCUCGGCUCCUUCUCCAGCAUCCUGUCUUCCUGCAUGCUUACAGUCAGAGACUGCUCUUGUGUUUCCCGGCCGCCCAGACCCAAAUAAUCACACAGAAACUAUAUUAAUUACAACACUAUUUGGCCGAUAGCUUAGAUGUCUUUCUAGUUAGCUCUUAUAUUUUAAAUUAACCCAUUUCUAUUCAUCUGUGUAUCACCACUAGGCUGUGGCAGACCCAUGUGGUUUAAUUUCAGCUUCGAGAAGUUCAUGUAUCUUGUAACAUUGCAACAUUGAACCUUCUGAUGGACAUAAUAAAAAAAUUGAACAAGUGGUCUUAAAUUUUUGGAACACUCUGGAUUCUUUUUACUUAGUUUUGUGUGUGUGUGUUUUAAUGUAGCCUUGACCGUCUGACCUGGAACUUGCUGUGUAGAACAGCUUGACCUCAGACCUGGAGAGGUCUGCUGCCUCUGCCUCCCCAGUGCUACAAUUAACGCCCAGUGCCUACCUUGUGUAAAACUUCUACUGCAGCCGUGAAUAUGAAUGCAUGUGCAGCGUCUCCAUGAAAAAUAUGUUUCUCCUCCUCCCCCCUUUUUAGAGUUGGAAGGGCGGUUUGAGAUAGGUUCUCACUGUAUAGUUCAGAUUGCCCUGGAAUUCACUACGUAGGCCAGAAUGGCCUCUGACUCAUAACAAUGCUCCUGCCUCAGGCUCCGAAGUGCUGGGACUAUAAUUGUGAGCCAUAAU
Long non-coding RNA from Alexandromys fortis (reed vole), 7297 nucleotides. RefSeq lists it as uncharacterized. NCBI's taxonomy places the organism in Eukaryota, Metazoa, Chordata, Mammalia, Rodentia, Cricetidae. The record is from RefSeq and is a predicted model, not a curated record. The transcript has 3 exons.